Molecule: small nuclear RNA, 167 nt
Filed under: Neogobius melanostomus (round goby)
Lineage: Eukaryota; Metazoa; Chordata; Actinopteri; Gobiiformes; Gobiidae
Description: U1 spliceosomal RNA (ENSNMLG00000002595.1)
Rfam family: U1 spliceosomal RNA
About the family: U1 is a small nuclear RNA (snRNA) component of the spliceosome (involved in pre-mRNA splicing).
Source: RNAcentral
UAACUUACUUGCGGGGUGAUUACCUGAUCACAGUUGGUUUGCGGGCGAGGCUUGUCCAUUGCACAUCCGGACUUGCUUUGCAACUCGAGUGAAUUCGACAACACGUUUCGGAAUUCUAACCUGCACAAUUCUCGGGUAGUGGGGGACUGCGUUCGCGCUCUUCCCUG